CCAAUAGCGUAUAUUAAAGUUGUUGCAGUUAAAAAGCUCGUAGUUGAAUUUCGGGGUUAGUAGGUUGGUCAUGCCUCUGGUAUGUACUGGUCUCACUGAUUCCUCCUUCCUGAUGAACCGUAAUGCCAUUAAUUUGGUGUUGCGGGGAAUUUGGACUGUUACUUUGAAAAAAUUAGAGUGUUUAAAGCAAGCUAACGCUUGAAUACAUUAGCAUGGAAUAAUGAAAUAGGACGUUCGAUCCUAUUUUGUUGGUUUCUAGGAUUGACGUAAUGAUUAAUAGGGAUAGUUGGGGGCAUUAGUAUUCAAUUGUCAGAGGUGAAAUUCUUGGAUUUAUUGAAGACUAACUAUUGCGAAAGCAUUUGCCAAGGAUGUUUUCAUUAAUCAAGAACGAAAGUUAGGGGAUCGAAGACGAUCAGAUACCGUCGUAGUCUUAACCAUAAACUAUGCCGACUAGGGAUCGGAUGAUGUUAAUUUUUUAAUGACUCAUUCGGCGCCUUACG
This 500-nucleotide ribosomal RNA is filed under the name uncultured Glomeromycotina. RNAcentral's name for it is "partial small subunit ribosomal RNA". It matches the Rfam family "Eukaryotic small subunit ribosomal RNA", at positions 591 to 1092 of the family's 1831-position model. Lineage: Eukaryota; Fungi; Glomeromycota. The record is from RNAcentral.